Molecule: ribosomal RNA, 3484 nt
Filed under: Triticum aestivum (bread wheat)
Lineage: Eukaryota; Viridiplantae; Streptophyta; Magnoliopsida; Poales; Poaceae
Description: partial small subunit ribosomal RNA
Source: RNAcentral
CACUGCCGGUGGCACGACACGAUCGGUUUUUUGGGUUUAGGUUUAUAGGUCAGGGGUUGAUGACUUGUCUGUCUCUCCGUCGAACCAGACGGGGUCGGCGGAGUAGGCGUCUAAGAAAGAAAAUCGAGAGGAGUUAGCCGUCCCCUUCUCGUUCCGGCCGUCGGUACCUCGACCACCACCCUCGAAGCCUCCGCUGCUACUUCAGGCAGUACCCGUUCGACCCGCCGGAGGAGCGGGUCCUCAUGUGGGACUAAGCCCCGCAGUUGCCGCUGGAGGUCAUGUAGUUGCUGCUCGACCGGUCGUACGUCAGGAAGGAGGCCCUGGAGUGGCGGCAGCCGCGGCCGGCUCGGGUCUCGGUGCCGGUGGCCUACUUCCUGACCUACUUCGUCUAGGCGCUGUAGUGGAUGCUGUAGCUCCUAACGUAGCUGCUGAGGCGGGUGGCGGAGGUGCCGGAGGCGAGGCUGUACACGACGAUGAUGAAGCGGUUGUCGCAGAUGCUCCAGGAGUGGACCACCGGAGCGGCGCUGCAGCGGCGGUUCUAGAGGCAGGAGUUCUACGCCCGCGUCGUCUAGCCCCUCGCCUCCCUCUCCAUGCCCCAGUUGUUGGGCCUCCGGCGGCCGCCUAGACUCCCAAGGGUACGGCCUUUGCCGUGGCGACGGCCUAAGCUGCGGCGGCUGUUGGUCCUCCGCUCGGAACUCGAGCAGCGGUACUUUCUAGGCCACCCCCACCUCCUGGUGUACUUUCUCGACCUCCUCACCGACUGGUUGCUGUUCUUGUGGAGGCCGCACGACAUACAACAGCCCAAGCCUCCCCACCCCUUCUGGUGGUAACGGUGGCGGGACAUGGCCUUUAAACCCCUGGUUAAGCUGGUGGCGCGGUACCAGUUGCACAGAGUCUCGAGGCUGUAGUUGCGACAGGAGUGGUUGUAGUUCUUAGUUCAGUACGGCGUCAGGUCGCCGGUUUACGUCGUUCGGCCGCCUCCGCAUGAGCCGGUCGAGUUCGCUCCGUGGAGGCGUAACCGCCGGUUCACGACGUCGCGGCCGCGGAGUCUCCUUUGCGCACCACUCUGCUUCGACCUGGCCGAGUUCUUUCUCGAGUGCCCUGUGAAACUGUUGUCGUCAAUGAACCAGAACCAACUACUACAAACCAGACGUCGUUGCACGCUGGUCUAGUCUUUCAGUGAAGGAUGUUCAUUAUUCGCGUGAUCUUAUUAUCAAUGAUGUGCCAAAGUUCGACAACGAUUUUGUGCGUCUCCCCUUCUUCCACUAGUAUGAGCAUUUCAAAGGGGAGAACCGCAACUUCUUAGACUCUCCGAUAAAUUCGUCCGGAAGAAACUUAGGUUUCCAUCACUCCGGAAGAAACUUAGGUUUCCAUCGCUCCAACUAUUCCAAGUUCUCCUUCAAACCUUCUACACACCCCCCGACGGCAACCGGUAUCAAUAGUACCGACCAGUGCAUCGGACGUUGGGUUUGUUUAGUCGCCGGCUUACCAACUUCCAGACGUUUAGAGAUAAAGGUCUCAGUCCCUUCCUAGUACCCUUUCUACCAUCCUCUCUGGAAUGGGUCCUCCUUCAACCAUCCUAACAAUCAGUAACGAUGUUACUGUACGGACGACUGUAGUUCUGAACGAGGGACAUAAACUCGUAUAAAGGUUUCCCGGUCUUUUAGUCGUCCUUCGCAAACUGUUCCGCUACCUAUCGACUUCGAAAGCAACGACUCUUCGUCCCGGACUCACACCUCCUGCAACGUCUCUGUAUAAAGUUAGUAGAGUAUUCUUCCUUCUAGUAGGCUGGUCAACUCGUGUCGUCGUUGCCCUUCCACUUCUUUACGUAUCACGUGCUGUACCAGGAACUUGUGUAACAUCGGUUCCGUUCACUCCUCUUAAAGUAGUGACACUAACCACCAUUGACCGAAUACGUCGAUGGAUCGUCGUUCCAGGCGGCCGACAGGGAGGUUCUUUCGCUAAGGUUUGCACGUUUACUAUGUCUCUUCUACUUGGACAGUGUACAGGCCAGUGACUGGUACAAACCCUCAAACUUGGUUGACGGAAGGGUAAGUAAGUUCAAACCUUAACAUGUUCAGGACCUAGAACUUCCGACGUACCCAAAGUUUCGCGUAGUAUGUCUCCUCUAUACGUUUUACGAAGAAGAGUUCAUAGAGUCGGAGGCUUCUUCACUGUGAUUUGUUGAAGGUUUUCGCUAACCUUUCGAACUCUUGGAACUCUGAGAGCUGUAAUCUCUCUAUUCACAACAACUCAACGGAUUUUGGCAUACGGUCGAACUUGCCGACCACUUGUAUGAACCACCCCUAUUUUAUUGUUCUUCCCGUAACUUCGAAGGAGUUCUCAACUUAUUCUUCUUCUUUUACUUCCCGAACGCGUAUGACAGUCCCUAACUCUAACAACCCCCUAACCGUCUGGAAGUAGUAGACUGACUCGACUCCUUCGAACGGUAGAUGUUCGAGUCGUGGUACUCACUGCUAGGCUCAAAGUUUCUAAAUUCGAGGAGAUAGCUCAUGGACCCCCCGAUGAGAGACUUGUGGGAGUAUUAACUACUGCUCAGUAGGUUCAAAUAGUUAAGUGACCUACUGGACAGUAGUGGUGGUUUCAAGGAACAACGGGAACUCAAUAGACCGUUCUACCAAGUCGAGGGGUCGACCUAGUGUGUUGAGUCACGAGAGUGGUUCGAUUGGGAAAGUCAUUGUCGAGAGGCCUGUCUAUUGGACGACGAGGAAUCGUUAGAUCUACGUGACAAGAGGGAGUGUAAGAGUAAGUCCCGUCUUUUCGUCCUAAGCCUCUGUGACUGGUAAGACCGUCUUUUGUUCGACAGGAGACUACCCCUCUAGUGUUAAGGUCUACGACCAAAAUUCUCGGAAUCCGAAGAAGCGAAGAAACGAGGAGAGAACGGUCAUGACUGGAAAAGCUUCUUACGGUACGGUCUCGACCUCUCCGAACUCGAUGCCAAGUCGUACGACCUCCCCGAAAUACCGCACCUUUUGGAACGCCCUGAGUUCCACCACGUGGACUGCAACUUCCUGUUUCUGCCACUUAUAUACUGCUUUCUCCACGUCGCGCUCCACCUCUGUAGUCACUUCUCCUCCUGGCUACCGUUCCGUGGGUUCUAUUAGGAGCUAGUUACUGAUUAGGUUUCGUGUUGAGUCUAUAAAAGUACGAUGACGACGAAAUGAGAGAGCUUCUUCGUUCCGACUAUGACACUUUUUUUCCUACUACGAAGUAGGUCCAUGCAACAUACUUAUGGAUUUACAAGAGAGCCAGAACAAACACACACGCACGCGUGACGGUUUAAACUAUUAGUCAAUGGCUCUAGAACAUCAAGAGAAGCUGCGUUUACAGCAACAUUUAAAGUAAGUUCUGCUACCUGUACAUAAAUACACAUGAGUAGAGACCUGUAGAACAUGGUCUUAGCAAUUUAACAAGUUGUACAAGAUUAGAUUGCUUCUAUACUCUCUUAAUAAACAGGUACCAA